Molecule: unclassified non-coding RNA, 425 nt
Filed under: Hevea brasiliensis (rubber tree)
Lineage: Eukaryota; Viridiplantae; Streptophyta; Magnoliopsida; Malpighiales; Euphorbiaceae
Source: RNAcentral
AAGCGGUCAGAAUUUUUUGAGCCUUUUAUUAUGGGAUUGACAAAUGGAACGGUUGAUCAGUUCUGCAAAUCAGCAGUUGAACCAAUGGGUGAAGAAAGUGAUCAUGUACACAUAAUUGCCUUAUCUGAUGCUUUGGGUGUGCCGAUUCGUGUUUUGUACCUUGAUCGGAGCUCUUGUGAUUCUGGCGGCCUCAGUGUAAACCACCAUGAUUUUGUUCCUGCUAGUGAGGUCUCAAGUGAUAGUACUGGCUCUGAGAUUAAGAUCCCUUUCAUCACUUUGCUCUAUCGUCCUGGUCAUUACGAUAUCCUUUAUCCAAAGUGAUGGCCAUUGGCAAACCCUGGUCGGGCUCUUAGAGUUGAACUGCAUUGACACGACGGACAUGGAUCCAAGCUUCAACAAGAUAAAAGGUUGGAUCUUUAUAAUUG